Molecule: transfer RNA, 75 nt
Filed under: uncultured Gammaproteobacteria bacterium
Lineage: Bacteria; Pseudomonadati; Pseudomonadota; Gammaproteobacteria
Description: tRNA-Ala
Source: RNAcentral
GGCCCUAACUCAACUGGGAAAACGCCUGCCUUGCACCCAAGAAGUCAACGGUUCAUUCCCCUUGGCUCCCCCAUU